RNAcentral lists this ribosomal RNA (207 nucleotides) under Triticum aestivum (bread wheat). RNAcentral describes it as "partial small subunit ribosomal RNA". The record is from RNAcentral. Lineage: Eukaryota; Viridiplantae; Streptophyta; Magnoliopsida; Poales; Poaceae.
AUGUUCUUGCAUGUGCUAGUAUGUCCAAUAUGUUCAAUGUCGUAUACAUGCGACACGCCGAGUCAAUGCCGGCACCUGAGCGGCAAUUAUAGAGGACCGUGCUUUGGCCUUACCGAUGGUUGCGAUCGUACAUGCCUAAAUGAAAGCUCCGAUAACGUGUGGGGCUAUUGUGACUGCAACUUAAAAUGCUACUGCUAUACAUGCUAG